UGGGGAAUCUUGCGCAAUGGGCGAAAGCCUGACGCAGCGACGCCGCGUGCGGGAAGAAGGCCUUCGGGUUGUAAACCGCUUUCAGGAGGGACGAAGCCACUCGGGUUAAUAGCCCAGAGGGUGACGGUACCUCCAGAAGAAGCCCCGGCUAACUACGUGCCAGCAGCCGCGGUAAUACGUAGGGGGCAAGCGUUGUCCGGAUUUAUUGGGCGUAAAGAGCGUGUAGGCGGCCAGACAGGUCCGUUGUGAAAACUCGAGGCUCAACCUCGAGACGUCGACGGAAACCGUCUGGCUAGAGUCCGGAAGAGGAGUGUGGAAUUCCUGGUGUAGCGGUGAAAUGCGCAGAUAUCAGGAAGAACACCUAUGGCGAAGGCAGCACUCUGGGACGGUACUGACGCUGAGACGCGAAAGCGUGGGGAGCGAACA
Molecule: ribosomal RNA, 426 nt
Filed under: uncultured bacterium
Lineage: Bacteria
Also listed under: 1 other name
Description: bacterial SSU rRNA
Rfam family: Bacterial small subunit ribosomal RNA
Source: RNAcentral